CCUACGGGAGGCAGCAGUGAGGAAUAUUGGUCAAUGGCCGGAAGGCUGAACCAGCCAUGCCGCGUGAAGGUCAGUACCCUAUGGGCGUUAAACUUCUUUUGUGCGGGAGCAAUAAUGGUCACGUGUGGCCAGAAGAGAGUCCCGUACGAAUAAGCAUCGGCUAACUCCGUGUCAGCAGCCGCGGUAAUACGAGGGAUGCAAGCGUUAUCCGGAUUUAUUGGGUUUAAAGGGUGCGUAGGCGGUGAGGUAAGUCAGCGGGGAAAUGCCCGCGCUCAACGUGGGAACUGCCUUUGAAACUGGCAAGCUGGAGUGUGUGAGAGGAUAGUAGAAUUCCAGGUGUAGGAGUGAAAUCCGUAGAUAUCUGGAGGAACAUCAGUGGCGAAGGCGACUAUCUGGCACAUAACUGACGCUGAGGAGCGAAAGCGUGGGUAGCAAACAGGAUUAGAUACCCCUGUAGUC
RNAcentral lists this ribosomal RNA (459 nucleotides) under uncultured bacterium. Its description in RNAcentral is "partial 16S ribosomal RNA". It matches the Rfam family "Bacterial small subunit ribosomal RNA", at positions 338 to 795 of the family's 1533-position model. The record is from RNAcentral.